GUGCCAGCAGCCGCGGUAAUACGUAGGGGGCAAGCGUUAUCCGGAAUUACUGGGUGUAAAGGGUGCGUAGGCGGUAAUGUAAGUCAGGUGUGAAAGCCCGAAGCUCAACUUCGGGAUUGCACUUGAAACUACAUAACUAGAGUACAGGAGAGGUGAGUGGAAUUCCUAGUGUAGCGGUGAAAUGCGUAGAUAUUAGGAGGAACACCAGUGGCGAAGGCGACUCACUGGACUGUAACUGACGCUGAGGCACGAAAGCGUGGGGAGCGAACAGGAUUAGAUACCCUGGUAGUCCACGCUGUAG
This 301-nucleotide ribosomal RNA is filed under the name uncultured bacterium. Its description in RNAcentral is "bacterial SSU rRNA". It matches the Rfam family "Bacterial small subunit ribosomal RNA", at positions 505 to 805 of the family's 1533-position model. The record is from RNAcentral.